UAGGGAAUAUUAGAAAUGGACGAAAGUCUGAUCUAGCAACACCGCGUGUGCGAAGAAGGCCUUCGGGUUGUAAAGCACUUUUUGGAAGGAUUAGGAAGGAAUGUACUUCCAGAAUAAGUCUCGGCUAACUACGUGCCAGCAGCCGCGGUAACACGUAGGAGGCAGACGUUAUCCGGAUUUAAUGGGCGUAAAGCGCGUGUAGGUGGUUCUGGAAGUAGGGCGUGAAAGCUCCUGGCUCAACUGGGAGAGGCCGUUCUAAACUGCAGAGCUAGAGGAUGG
Molecule: ribosomal RNA, 279 nt
Filed under: uncultured prokaryote
Description: partial 16S ribosomal RNA
Rfam family: Bacterial small subunit ribosomal RNA
Source: RNAcentral